This 1189-nucleotide small RNA is filed under the name Malus domestica (apple). RNAcentral's name for it is "sRNA MD02G0139300". The record is from RNAcentral. Lineage: Eukaryota; Viridiplantae; Streptophyta; Magnoliopsida; Rosales; Rosaceae.
GUUUCUUGGUGAAAAGAAAUUCUUGACAGCUUCCCUAUUACCAGUGCAAAAGUUGUCGUUGCUGGACCAGCAAGAAAAAAAAAUCUGCUAUGCAUAACGACAGACCUGCUUUUUUGCAGCAAGGACCAAAACAUGUAGAAGUCUAAUGUAUUGGAAAUGCUUCGACUGAUCAGGGGAUGUAAGGGAUGUAAGUGAUAAGGUAGUGGGCUCAAAAUUUAUAGUAUGAUGUUAGUUUUCUUUUUAAUUCUGUAUUCAUGUCGUAUAACUGCUUAAUUCAAGUUUGGCAUGUCAGUUUUUAUAUUAUUUUCGAACUUGAAUGACUUCGUAGUAUUAAAUUGUUGGUGGGGGGUUGAAAUGAAGUUGAAAAUAUGAUGUGCUUUGUCCAGUAAUUAUGUUUGCACCUUUUGAAUUUCUUUCCUUAUAUGUAGGUUUAAUUUAUUUACUACAUUUCAACCCCCCACCCACUUAGUGGGAAAAGGCUUUGUUGUUGUUGUUGUUGUAUAUGUAGGUUUAAUUUAGAAAUUCCUGCAUACUUUUUUUCUCCGGAUAGUGUACCGUGUGUGGACAGCUUCUGAGUGGAAUGGUUGUGUGUCAUUAAAUAACAUGAUGUUAUCGUGGUUGUGGGUGGGUAUAUGAUGGCCCAGGUGAUGCAACAUGAGAAGAUAACGGUUUUGUGCAGGCAUGAAUUAUGGUUUGAGAGUUCUAUUUUUUGGAUUUCCUCCCUUAUAUGUAGGUUUCGUUUAGUAUGCGAUGGUAACACAAAUGGGUAGCAGUUGGAUUAUUUGGGACUCAAUGUGAGACAUAAAGACAGAGGAGGAACUUAUUCUGUUUCUUAUUGCAAGUCUAUUAAAUUUGGAAAGGUUAAAAGUUUUUAGUAAGCUUUGGCAGAUUAAAUACAAAUAAUUGUUUAAGUUGAGAUCUGGGACCAUGGCUUCUGGCAAUCCAUGAAACCAGGUGGUGGGGGAAAGCCAUUCAGGUAUUCAAAUAUGAAGUUUCUUACGUAUUAGACCGAAUUGGUUUGAGCAUGAUUCAAGUCUCAGUACAGCUGGAUAUUUGUUUCCUCACACAGAUUUUGUGCAUACCUUGAUGCAUUUUUUUCAUAGAAAUUACUGGAUUAAUUCAUCCUGAAUUAACUUUUGUAUAAUUCCACCUACAUGUGCCUUGUUUUAAUGAUUAGUCAAUGGAUUUU